Gambusia affinis (western mosquitofish) is the source of this 2029-nucleotide long non-coding RNA. RefSeq lists it as uncharacterized. Lineage: Eukaryota; Metazoa; Chordata; Actinopteri; Cyprinodontiformes; Poeciliidae. The transcript has 2 exons. The record is from RefSeq and is a predicted model, not a curated record.
AACCACAGAGACAAAGGCCUUCAGCAAACAGUUUGCUUGGAUAGAAUGAGAAUUAUUUGCAUUUGAAGCACUUCUGCGUGUUUGAAGAGUACAUUAACAAGUAGUUUCUUUGAGGAGACUGUCUGAUGAGAAUAAAACCAAACAAACCGAGAAUUCGGGGAUGAAAAGGAAAAGUAAACAGAAAACGCACAUUAGUAAGAUAAAAAUUAGGUCAAUAAAUCACUAUGUCACUUCGCCCCAGGGAAAGCGUGGCCAACGAAAACACACACACUAAGAUGCUAUCAGCUGAUACGAUGACGGAGGUCCAGGCGCGAGGGCUGGAGGUCUGUUGAACCUGGCCGUAAACUCCCAGGACUCAAUCAUCGGCCAUAAAACAUUACGGCGCGAGAGCCCCGAAGAAAUCUCUCAGAGUCCCAUUAUUUGCUUUGGAGUUAGCGCCGCUGGGGGAAGGAACAUGGGGUGGGGAAACCGAGUUACCUGUGUCACUGCGAAAAGAAAAGAAAAAAAUAAAAUAAAAAUAGAGGCCCUCUCGCUGAAAAACACGUUUGCAGAAACUCAGCUGCUUCAAGCGUCUCUGAUGAAUUACGUUCUGGUCAGCAGGUGAAGACUGCUGAUGAAUACGCUGGUGUAGCUUCUGCCUGCUAAAGAUUAGCCACAGCCCCCCUCUUCUCCCCCGCCAUCUCCCUGUGAUCUACUGUCCCAAGGACUGUAUCAAUCUCUCUAAAAGGGCAACAUUCUGACAUAUUAUAAUGAAUGGCUCAGAUCGGUAUCUGGAGGGCCUGCUGCGGCAGGGCAUUCCUGCAGAGAGAACGUGCUCUUUCUGCGGCGGGGGAUAUCUGCCGGAUCGCUACAUGGGCCGCAAACAUCUGGACGUGGGAGCAGAAAUCAAACUGGACAGCGUAAAAUUGACUUCAUAAGUUGCGUCGGGGGAGACUAAUGGGCCUUGGAUGGGAGGAGAUGUUGGGAGAAUGUAUCUGCAUGCACGCUCCCGUUCUGGGCAGGAACCCGUCCGCAAGCUGCAUGUGGGAGAUAUAAGCCAGGUACAAGAUGUGAAUCAAGAGGAAUGCGAGACAGAAAGAGAGAGAGAGAGAGAACAGAGAGAGGAAUGUCAUUGAUCAAAGUAAAAAGAAAAAAAAAGAAAGAAGUUCAAAACAGUUAGUGGUGCCAUUUUUCCUAUUUUGUUUUUGGUAAUGAAUCCUUCCCUGCUGGUAUCAGUAGCGUAAAACAGUAGCUGUGUUUCCAUUGACUGUAAAAUUGCACAAAUUUGAAUUACAAAAAAAAAUAAUUAAAAAAUCAUCUUUAACGGAAACACAGCAAUUUAAAAGUAAACAACAUUUUUUGAUAACUUUUUGCGCUUUUAUGAAGUGGUUUUUUUAUCCUUCUCAAAAUUAGUGUGUUUUGUAAAACUGAAAUGAAGACACUUUUUUUGCAUCAUAACCAGAUGAAAAGAUGAAGAAGGCAACAGGAAGUGGUAGAAAGAUGAUGGUGUGGGAUGAUUUUUAACAACUUACCAUGUGAACAAACAUAUUUGCCAGUUAUUAUAAUUGUCUCUUAACUGAUGUUGACACCGCAAUCUGCAAAAUUUGUUUUUUUUUUUUUACAUUAGCGGAAUAUCAAAAAAGUUCUGCGCAUGUUUGUUAAAAUAAAAACUAGUGCGUGACCAUUCAGGCGGAACAAGCCAGAAAACCAGAUCCUGAGGAAAGUAUGGGAGUUACAGCCAUGUGAUCGACAACCAGAUGUUACUACUGACGGAGAAGACGAAGACAACAGGAAGUGGUCGUCCGUCAGAAGCCGUGGCCCGGACCUGCCACCCGGCAGGACCUCCACCCCGGCCACACAGAAAAUACGUCUGUGGGAAGCGCCGAGGAUAGCUGUCUGGACGUCACAGUGAGCUGCACUUCGGAGUAAUUUAAGAGCCCCAACUGAAUCCUUUCCCUCUUCCUUGUGCUUUUUUCCCCCUGUCAUCCUCAUCCUGGAUCACACGCUGAAUCAAUAUUUUGUUGCUUCAGCAAAAUAAACCCCAAUAACU